GACGAACGCUGGCGGCGUGCCUAACACAUGCAAGUCGAGCGAGUGGAUCUCCUUCGGGAGUGAAGCUAGCGGCGGACGGGUGAGUAACACGUGGGCAAACUGCCUCAUAGAGGGGAAUAGCCUUUCGAAAGGAAGAUUAAUACCGCAUAAGAUUGUAGCUGCUCAUGAAGUAGAAAUUAAAGGAGCAAUCCGCUAUGAGAUGGACCGGCGUCUGAUUAGCUAGUUGGCAGAGUAACGGCCCACCAAGGCAAAGAUCAGUAGCCGACCUGAGAGGGUGACCGGGCACAUUGGGACUGAGACACGGCCCAAACUACUACGGAAGGCAGCAGUGGGGAAUAUUGCACAAUGGGCGAAAGCCUGAUGCAGCUACGCCGCGUGAACGAUGAAGUAUUUCGGUAUGUAAAGUUCUAUCAGCAGGGAAGAAGAAUGACGGUACCUGACUAAGAAGCACCGGCUAAAUACGUGCCAGCCGCCGCUGUAA
This 481-nucleotide ribosomal RNA is filed under the name uncultured bacterium. RNAcentral describes it as "partial 16S ribosomal RNA". It matches the Rfam family "Bacterial small subunit ribosomal RNA", at positions 28 to 523 of the family's 1533-position model. The record is from RNAcentral.